This 157-nucleotide ribosomal RNA is filed under the name uncultured Acaulospora. RNAcentral's name for it is "5.8S ribosomal RNA". It matches the Rfam family "5.8S ribosomal RNA". From Rfam's summary of the family: 5.8S ribosomal RNA (5.8S rRNA) is a component of the large subunit of the eukaryotic ribosome. It is transcribed by RNA polymerase I as part of the 45S precursor that also contains 18S and 28S rRNA. Functionally, it is thought that 5.8S rRNA may be involved in ribosome translocation. The record is from RNAcentral. Lineage: Eukaryota; Fungi; Glomeromycota; Glomeromycetes; Diversisporales; Acaulosporaceae.
CAACUUUCAACAACGGACCUCUUGGCUCUUGCAUCGAUGAAGAACGCAGCGAAAUGCGAUAAGUAAUGUGAAUUGCAGAAUUCCGUGAAUCAUCAAAUCUUUGAACGCAAAUUGCACUCUUUGGUAUUCCGAAGAGUAUGCUUGCUUGAGGGUUGUU